Molecule: ribosomal RNA, 324 nt
Filed under: uncultured eukaryote
Lineage: Eukaryota
Description: partial 18S ribosomal RNA
Rfam family: Eukaryotic small subunit ribosomal RNA
Source: RNAcentral
CCCUUAGAUGUCCUGGGCCGCACGCGCGUUACACUGAUGCAUUCAACGAGCUUAUAACCUUGGCCGAGAGGCCUGGGCAAUCUUGUUAACGUGCAUCGUGAUAGGGAUAGAUUAUUGAAAUUAUUAAUCUUGAACGAGGAAUUCCUAGUAAACGCAGAUCAUCAAUCUGCAUUGAUUACGUCCCUGCCCUUUGUACACACCGCCCGUCGCACCUACCGAUUGGAUGGUCCGGUGAGCUCUUCGGACUGCGCGGUCUGCAGUUUCUGCGUUCCGUGCGGAAAGUUGUGCAAACCUUAACAUUUAGAGGAAGGAGAAGUCGUAACA